This 290-nucleotide unclassified non-coding RNA is filed under the name Hevea brasiliensis (rubber tree). The record is from RNAcentral. Lineage: Eukaryota; Viridiplantae; Streptophyta; Magnoliopsida; Malpighiales; Euphorbiaceae.
AAGAAGAAGAAGCAGCAGCAGCCAGCAUGAGUUCCAAAAACUAAAGUGAAUCCACCAAUUAAAGGUAAUGUUCGCAUCUAUUGUUAGUCUUUUUCACAGGAUUCUUUUUUAUUUUUAAGGACUGUUUUGGUCUUUGGUCCAUUCAAACUUUUGCUAAAACUGCAUGAGAUGAGAUUCUUCUUAGUCUCGUGGCAAUCAAAAUACAAAAGGAAAAGGGCCAACAACUACAUAUGGGUACUCUGUAUUCUUUUCAAAGUGACAAAAAUCAAAAGAGAAUGCUCUCUACUCCA